GACUUUCUCCAGCCGGUUGUCAGAAAAUGAAAGCCAGUUUGCUCUUUCUGCAUCCACAGAGAAUAUAACUGACAGACACUCUCCGGGCUGGAAUGAGUCCUUAUGGUGAAGUCUGAAACAUGUUCAGUCUUUGUUCUUCAGUCACACUGUCAUUAUUAUUAUUGUUGUUGUUGUUGUUACUUUACUUCUGCAUAACACCGGAACCCUGAGAAACCCACAUUCCUGGGUUCUCUGGCUUUGCCCCUUUUGGAAUGAUUUAUAUUCAGCUGUGACUUGGCUGUGUUGAAGGAACGCCUUAAAAAUAGCUCUUUAAUGUGCACUAUUGUAUCUACACGAGGAUGCUGUCUAUAAUUUCAUAAAAUGCUCCCUUUCUGAGGACCCACGGGAGGAAUUUUACUUAAAAUGCAGACUCUUUCUGUUCGCUGAUGGGGCUCCCUUAUUCUGCCAGUUUGCAUAGCCUGUUUGUCUCUGGUGGGCACUGCUGGGUGCUGGAGCCAGGACGAGGAACACAGAGGGAUUUCUGUCCCAGAGCUUCCGGUCAGUGGAGAGGACAGAUGCUUAUUCAUCUCUCAGAUGAAUGUGUGGGUGACAAAUGUAACUGCAAGAGACCUGAAGGACAGGGACUCGCUCUGAGAGUGUAGAGGGGGUUGUCUGUGACUGUGCUACCUAAAGGGGCCUCGUGCAUGCAAAGUGAAUGCUCUACCCCUGAGCCACAUCCCCAGCCUGCUGAUUCUCCUGGAGAAGCUUGUUGAGCUGGUUUUCCUGAGAAGAACUUGGCUGUUUCCAUCAUCAGAAGAGCUCAGGAUCUUGCUGUCUCUGAGGAUGGCUGUGGUUCUUUUUGAGGGAGCGCUGGUCUUUACUUUGAGCAUCGCUUGCUGGUUCCAGCGCCCAUCCCUCAUUCAGCCUGCUGGCACAGAUCCUUCAUCCCGCUGGCACAAACUUUCUGGCUUCUGCACUGACCUUUGGGCCAGUGCAGAUCCUGGCUACAGAUUUGCACAAGACAUUGCUAUGACUGUAGGUUUUCAGCUGGACUCACGAUGACAUUGCUGUGGGAUUCAGCCCUCAGCUGAAUUCUUUGGGUCUGAGUGUGUGGACAAAUUUCUCGCACUCUUUUGCAUUUGAUUCUUGGGGUGAAUAUAAAAUAAUCCUAUAAA
This is a long non-coding RNA of Cavia porcellus (domestic guinea pig), 1154 nucleotides long. RefSeq lists it as uncharacterized. The transcript is spliced from 2 exons. Lineage: Eukaryota; Metazoa; Chordata; Mammalia; Rodentia; Caviidae. The record is from RefSeq and is a predicted model, not a curated record.